Molecule: long non-coding RNA, 905 nt
Organism: Fukomys damarensis (Damara mole-rat)
Lineage: Eukaryota; Metazoa; Chordata; Mammalia; Rodentia; Bathyergidae
Exons: 7
Source: RefSeq, a predicted model, not a curated record
UAGUCAGGGACUCAUUGUUAUUAUGCUCUUGAGGAGGACUCUGAGUGAAGGACUGGAGAAAGAAUGCCGCACUGCCUGUGGGAGGCAAAGGUGGCAAUUCUGCACACCCUGUGAAUCUGGAAGGGGAAGACCACCUUACUACCUCAUAGCCAUGGAUAGCAGGGAAAAGUCCCGAUACAUUAAAAGUAACCAAGAGAGGCACUGGAACAAGGAGCAGCAAGAAAGAGCAGUGACACAGAGAGACUCCGCUUGGAACACAGAAGUAUUUUGAGCAGCAGAUUUGAGGAGAGAGAAAAAUCAAGGCUCAGGAUCUGCCCUGGCCAUUGGCAAGAAGUUGCAGAGCUGACACUAAGCCAAUUCUUCAGACUCUGGUCCUUGCCUUCACUCCAGCAGCGAAUGAAGAAGGCUCUUCAAGGACAAUGGGGGAGUCAAGACUGCACCUGUCAUCUACUUGUGUAGGGGUUAAGGUGGAAGACGAUAAAGAUGAGAUGUCAACAUUAUUGUUUCUUUAAACGUUUCACCCUAUACACUUUGUAAGGCUGCUGAAAUUUUGGAACUGGUGUGUUAUAGCUGCUUGUAUUACUCUCCCAUGCAUAAGAAAGAACAUUCAAUUCACUUAACGCCACUCCACAAGUCUUUCUACUCUCAUCUGUACCCAGGGGAAAACAAAUUCCAGUGCAUUAGGGCAUUUGGAUGGCAGCACAUCACAGCUGAGGGAGCGCCUAGGCUUGGCUCUGUUUCCAACAGCCCUGUGACCCUGGGCCCAUGGCCACACCCCUUUGGGGGACCCUGGGUUCAACUGCUAAAAUGCAAAAAUUAGACAUUACUUAAAAAUCUUCUUGCCCUCCAAACACUUUAUUUUCAUCUUUUCAUUAUCUCACAUUUUUUUCUUUUCCUUUAUUACC